RNAcentral lists this ribosomal RNA (1387 nucleotides) under Lactiplantibacillus pentosus. Its description in RNAcentral is "bacterial SSU rRNA". It matches the Rfam family "Bacterial small subunit ribosomal RNA", at positions 68 to 1430 of the family's 1533-position model. Lineage: Bacteria; Bacillati; Bacillota; Bacilli; Lactobacillales; Lactobacillaceae. The record is from RNAcentral. RNAcentral also lists the same sequence under 2 other names.
UAUUGAUUGGUGCUUGCAUCAUGAUUUACAUUUGAGUGAGUGGCGAACUGGUGAGUAACACGUGGGAAACCUGCCCAGAAGCGGGGGAUAACACCUGGAAACAGAUGCUAAUACCGCAUAACAACUUGGACCGCAUGGUCCGAGUUUGAAAGAUGGCUUCGGCUAUCACUUUUGGAUGGUCCCGCGGCGUAUUAGCUAGAUGGUGGGGUAACGGCUCACCAUGGCAAUGAUACGUAGCCGACCUGAGAGGGUAAUCGGCCACAUUGGGACUGAGACACGGCCCAAACUCCUACGGGAGGCAGCAGUAGGGAAUCUUCCACAAUGGACGAAAGUCUGAUGGAGCAACGCCGCGUGAGUGAAGAAGGGUUUCGGCUCGUAAAACUCUGUUGUUAAAGAAGAACAUAUCUGAGAGUAACUGUUCAGGUAUUGACGGUAUUUAACCAGAAAGCCACGGCUAACUACGUGCCAGCAGCCGCGGUAAUACGUAGGUGGCAAGCGUUGUCCGGAUUUAUUGGGCGUAAAGCGAGCGCAGGCGGUUUUUUAAGUCUGAUGUGAAAGCCUUCGGCUCAACCGAAGAAGUGCAUCGGAAACUGGGAAACUUGAGUGCAGAAGAGGACAGUGGAACUCCAUGUGUAGCGGUGAAAUGCGUAGAUAUAUGGAAGAACACCAGUGGCGAAGGCGGCUGUCUGGUCUGUAACUGACGCUGAGGCUCGAAAGUAUGGGUAGCAAACAGGAUUAGAUACCCUGGUAGUCCAUACCGUAAACGAUGAAUGCUAAGUGUUGGAGGGUUUCCGCCCUUCAGUGCUGCAGCUAACGCAUUAAGCAUUCCGCCUGGGGAGUACGGCCGCAAGGCUGAAACUCAAAGGAAUUGACGGGGGCCCGCACAAGCGGUGGAGCAUGUGGUUUAAUUCGAAGCUACGCGAAGAACCUUACCAGGUCUUGACAUACUAUGCAAAUCUAAGAGAUUAGACGUUCCCUUCGGGGACAUGGAUACAGGUGGUGCAUGGUUGUCGUCAGCUCGUGUCGUGAGAUGUUGGGUUAAGUCCCGCAACGAGCGCAACCCUUAUUAUCAGUUGCCAGCAUUAAGUUGGGCACUCUGGUGAGACUGCCGGUGACAAACCGGAGGAAGGUGGGGAUGACGUCAAAUCAUCAUGCCCCUUAUGACCUGGGCUACACACGUGCUACAAUGGAUGGUACAACGAGUUGCGAACUCGCGAGAGUAAGCUAAUCUCUUAAAGCCAUUCUCAGUUCGGAUUGUAGGCUGCAACUCGCCUACAUGAAGUCGGAAUCGCUAGUAAUCGCGGAUCAGCAUGCCGCGGUGAAUACGUUCCCGGGCCUUGUACACACCGCCCGUCACACCAUGAGAGUUUGUAACACCCAAAGUCGG